Molecule: ribosomal RNA, 506 nt
Filed under: uncultured bacterium
Lineage: Bacteria
Description: partial 16S ribosomal RNA
Rfam family: Bacterial small subunit ribosomal RNA
Source: RNAcentral
GAUGAACGCUGGCGGCGUGCCUAACACAUGCAAGUCGAACGAAGCACUUUAUUUGAUUUCCUUCGGGACUGAUUAUUUUGUGACUGAGUGGCGGACGGGUGAGUAACGCGUGGGUAACCUGCCUUGUACAGGGGGAUAACAGUUGGAAACGGCUGCUAAUACCGCAUAAGCGCACGGCAUCGCAUGAUGCAGUGUGAAAAACUCCGGUGGUAUAAGAUGGACCCGCGUUGGAUUAGCUAGUUGGGGAGGUAACGGCCCACCAAGGCGAGGGGCCGUGACCCGUCUGAGGGGAGGAUGAGCCACACCGGGACUGGGAGACGGGCCAGAGUCCUACGGGAGGCAGGAGUGGGGAAUAUUGGACAAUGGGCGAAAGCCUGAUAAAGCCAAGCCGCGUGUGUGAAGAAGGUCUUCGGGUGGUAAAGCACUUUUAGUUGGGAGGAAGGAGAGUAAGUUAAUACCUUGCUGUUUGGACGUGACCAAAAGAAUAAGCACCGGCUAACUUCGUG